RNAcentral lists this unclassified non-coding RNA (1875 nucleotides) under Hevea brasiliensis (rubber tree). Lineage: Eukaryota; Viridiplantae; Streptophyta; Magnoliopsida; Malpighiales; Euphorbiaceae. The record is from RNAcentral.
AUUGAGUUGCAUUAUUUUUGAAGAAGAUAUAUAUGAGUGAAAAUCUAAUGAUUGUUAAUGCGAAAACUAUAAUUAGGAGAUGCUAUCUUUUGUGUUUGAUUUUCCAAAAUUGUAGGCCUGAUUUUUGCAAAAUUAUGAACUUAUAUUUGCCAUCAUCAGCUCCAGAAUUUGAGGGAUUAUUAUGGGCUGUCAAAGGGAUUUUGUCCCUUAUCAAAACCAACACAUGGUUUAACAUAACAAAAGCCUAAUAUAUCAUUUAGCAGGCCCUGGCUUAACUCAUCCAAACAGUCUCAAUCACAUCUGAUGAAGCUUUUAAUGGUAGCUAAUGUCAAUAAUGCAACGAUAUAUAAUUCAUGCAUCAUUCAACCACUUGGCUUUGAAACUACAAGUGAAACAAUGCACAACACUGAACAUUAAGCAACGACCGGCCUUGAUAAAUAAACAUAUCAUCAUCUAGGAAUCUUCAAACUUUAUCAAUAUUUGGUUCAUCUGUGGUUGAUGUUUCCUGACCUUGACACUAGCCAUAGAUAGUAGCUUGUGUGAAGCAACGUAGUUUGUGUCAGAGUUACUUAAAUUCUUCUCUACAAAAUAUAUAACUUCAGAUACACCUGACUGAAUGAUUAUCUUGGCACAUUCAUUGCAAGGGAACAUGGUCACGUAAAGCUUCUGCCCUGCAGCAGAAGCAUGGUUUUUGUUCAGGAUAGCAUUAACUUCAGCAUGACAAACAUAAGGAUACUUAGUCUCCAAAGGAUUCCCAGUUUUAGAUUUCUUUGCCCAAGGAAGUUUGUCAUCUGAGCAACCUCUUGGAAAUCCAUUAUAGCCAAUGCCUAUGGCAAUGAAAUUAGUACAAGUGAAAUACAUCAAAUUAUAUCAUCACUAAAAGCAGCCUAUUCAUGUACACUAGAACCCAUAAGACUACUCCAUAUGCAAUGGCAGAAAUAUAUAUUUAAGCAAUAUAUCAGUAACAUUUCCUUACAAAUUACAGUACCACUUAACUUGCUUGUUAUGGUACUCCAGGCCAUAGGAACUCAAGUAAAUACAGCUCUUACAUUUUCUUGAGAUAAUGAUAUAAACAUUAACAAAUAAAAAUACAACAACGCAAUAAGCAAAAGCAAUUGUUGACAAUUUGAUUAGAGUAAGAGUUUGGUACUUAAAUUACCAAUAGGAUUGCAUACACGUUUGUUCACCCAGCAACACAAGAAUCUAACAUUAUGCUCCUGUUAAAGCUGUCGCUUUGCUAUCCAUAUCACCAACAUGAUUCACUUCAAAUAAAUCUCAGGCAAUGCAAGCAUACAUAUAGCAAUGAACCCAAAUAAAUGCACCAACGCUGCUUUCCAUUAGAAGUAAAACGCAAGACUUAUCUUAGAAAAACAAAGCCAGCUUAUUAAUUGGAUGCAGAUCUUACACCAAAAUGAGCUUACCAAGAAUAACUUCAUUUUGACUGACCAAGCAUGCACCAACCUGCCUGUUUGGAUCUUUGGAUCGUUCAGCCGACAAAAAAGCAAUUGCCAUAAAAUAAUCGUCCCAUGACAAGUAUCCUUGGCGCUUGGAGGGAUCAAACGGGCUCUGAGAAGAGCAUUUCUUCGAAACGGCAGACGAAUCGAUUCGGGGAAAGUGCUUUUUCUGGUUGAAGAAAAAGAAGCGAGCCGCAAGAGCAGAUGCCAGUGCACCGAAAACCGUUGCUGUAGAGAGAAGAACAAGCUCUCGAGAAUUCAUGCAGUUUGUCAACAGAUAAAAAUACGGGAAAAUUCCGAGGAAAUUGCUUUCUCUUUCGCAAAAAUUUGAUACCUGCUGUUGAGAUCUAAAGCCGCCAAUAUAAGUGAAAAAGAAAAUAGCGGGAAGAAGGGAAAGCUAUAGAUUCCAUUUCCAUCCCCA